Marmota monax (woodchuck) is the source of this 5962-nucleotide long non-coding RNA. RefSeq lists it as uncharacterized. The record is from RefSeq and is a predicted model, not a curated record. Lineage: Eukaryota; Metazoa; Chordata; Mammalia; Rodentia; Sciuridae. The transcript has 2 exons.
CCUGGGGCCCUGCCUCAAGAUUGGUCCUCUUGGGCCACCGUCGCCCACCCGGCAGUAGCGUAUAUAGAUGCCUUUCUUGCAAGGUUGGAAUAAGACGUUAAAGGUGUUGAUUUCUGAUUUGGAGGACGCGAAAGCAACAGAGAUCCUCCCCGCUCUCCUUUCGCCCACUGACCCCCGACCUUCGCUCAGACACUUUGCAAGAGCCCCAGCCCGGCAUGAACCUUCCGGCGCGGCAGUCCCAGAGCCCACUUGCAGCCAUCCUCCUUGGUUGCUUCUAGGCCUGGCUGCGAGGAGUGGGACUCCCAACCUUUGUUGGGAGACAAAGAACAAGAAAAGGGAGCCUGGAAAAUUAACUGGCACAGAGGGAAUUGAAUCCAAGGAAUGCCCUACCACUGAAUUACAUCCACAGGCCUUUUUGUUCGUUUCAGACAAGAUGUCACUGAAUUGCUGAGGCUGAUCUCAAACUUGCAAUCCUCCUGCUUCAGCCUUCCCAGAUGCUGGGAUUACAGGUGUGUGCCACCACGCUGGGCUAGGAAAUUAUUUUCUAACAGAUGCUCACCAAUUCUAUACAAGAUAAGGGGAAGAUCUCAAAUGAGCCUGCUGCCAUUGCAAAAGAAUACCUAUUACCUCCUUCAUGCAAAGGGCUGUUUCUACAGUUUUCUACUCCCCUGGCCAGAGAUUAUUCAAAUGGAGAAAUGCGACAUUAAAAGUUUUAUGCGGGAGUAAAAUGCAUUAAAAAAAAAAAGUCUCAGACUCAUCUUAUUAACUCUGGUCCUUAACACAGCAUCUUUACAGGCCCCAUUCCAUCUCCUUUCUGGAUACAUCUUUAUGAUCCAGAUUCUGUUUUAUACCUUUCAGAAGUAAUAUUUCUCUCUUCUUUUAUGAAUAAGACAGGAUUAUUUGCUUAUGGAAAUCAGAGUAAUUACAGAGAUAUGAUAUAACAAAGUUAUAAAAUUAGAAAGGAGUCUUUAGGAAGAAGUAAAUGAGAAUGAAAAUUUCCCGAGGCAUUUCUACUUCUCCAGAAUGCCAUGUAGUGGGAAAAGCACUAGCUUUGCAGGUAAAUGAUUGUGUGAUAACUGUUUCUCUUUAAGUGUGCUAGUUACUAUACUAAGUGGCAAUAACACUUCAAGGAUAUCUUGGGAGGUUAUGAAUUCAUGCUAGGUCCUAACAAUGCUAGCUGAAAAUAGAAAAAUCUGGAAAACAAGAAAAUAGGGUAAAAGGAUGUACUUCCUUGGGAGAGCAGCUGAGAAGCUGGUAAUCUCAAAAUAGAAGUUUUCAAGACAGACACACUAUAAAGAACAAGUUCUAUGGACCCGACAUGGAACAUAAUAUAUUCAAAUGAUGCAUUUCAAACCAUUUGUUCACUUCUAUAUUAGAACCACAAAGAAUACAAUCAUUGCUAAAUAGAAGCUACGAAUAGAUGAAUGGGCCUUUGUAUUUACAGCCUUGGUUUAUUGGGAAACGAAUGAAUGUAUUAAAGAGAACCCUUCUUUUUCUCAACUGGAAUACCAAUUUACUGAUGCUUUAAGGUAAUUUUUCCAUAUAGUACACUUCCUAGUUGUUUCAAGUGCAUGUUUGAGACAUCUUAUCAUGCUAGCAGCACUAUUAUAUCUUCCUCUCCGACCGCCCCCCCUUCCUUAUAGAGCUAAGGAUCAAAACCAAGACUUCGUGCAUGCUUUACCACUGAGCUACAUCCCCCGUUCUACUGUAUCAUUUCUUGCAAAAGACUAUGUCAAACAAAGAAUAAAUGUGUUUUUUUCCUUUAUCCCUACUUUUUUUCAUUGUCCAAGGAAUACUCCAUAGAACAAUAAAUGCUGGAUUUAGGCUUCCAUCAUAUUAGGUACACUGAAAUUUGUGAGAGUGUAUGAAUUAUUUACAUAUUUUUCUUAAAAAAAAAUGAGACAGGGUUUUUUUGGGGGACAGGGUCUCACUAUGUUGCCCAGGCUGCUCUUCAACUCAUAUGCUUAAACCACACUCCUGUCAACCUCCCAAGUAGCUGGCACCACAAGUAUACACCACCACACCUCUUAAACUGGCAUACUUUGCAACUGAUUUAUAUCAUUGCCUUCUCCUCCACUCAGGUGGUUCUCUCUUCCUCUGUGAAUAUGAUUAUCUCUUCAUACUACAGUAGGGAUCAAAUGCCUUUUUCCAAGAACAUUUUCAUACCCUUCUCUUUUCUUUCAGUUUCCACUGUCAUCACCCUGUUAGGUAACUGAUAAUGAUGAUGACAACUGGUAAUAAAAAUGAUAAUGAUGUCUUAUUGCAAUAGUUCUUUUAUUGGUUUCUUUGCUUCUCAUUUCUCUCCAUUCCAUUGUGUUCUAUUUGCUGUAAUAGAGCAAUUCCUUCUGAAACAUGAAAAUGAUCUCAUCAUUUGCCACUACAAUCAUCAAGGGACAAGUAUAACCAUCUAACACAUUGUUCAUAAGCAAACAUGAAAGUAAGAACAGUAAUUUAUGUUAUCAAUUGAUCUUUGACUUCUAAGAGCAAAUACAUCUUUUCCAUGAAGACAGGGACUUCUGGCCAUCUAGCACCUGAAGAAUCCACAACACCUGCUUGGCACCCAGUAAGAAAUAAAUAUUUGGAGGGUGAAUAAGCUACAGUGAAGCAUAGGAAAAAAAUAAUUCACAUUCAGUCUUUGUUUUAAUAUUUAUUGGUAGAAAUAGAUCUUCAAUGCAUACUUUGUGUUUAUAGAAAUUCUACAUUCUCUUAAGGUUUCUUCUUGUUUUCUUUGGAGUUUUUUGACCUCCAAGUGAACUUAACAUUUUAUCUAUGCAUUUGAUUCUUUAUAAUAGACUUUUUUAAAAUCUAAAUUUGAAAAAACCAUGCAUCUUGUAUACCUUAUACUUAAUCCAAAGAAUUAUUUGCACUUCCAAAAAAGUCACAAAAAAGGCUGAACUCAAGUUAAAUAAUCUAUAUGACCUAAAUUUUCCAUGUCCCAUUCCUGAAUAAAAAAUACUUGUUCAGUAUUACAUAUUGCUUGCUAUCUAGUAAGUCAGAUUGUCAGAGACGCUUCAGUAAAUUAUCUUUACUUCAGAAUUAUAUCUUAAUCUUCUCAGAGAUGAUCUUGUCAAUAGUAAACAUUGUGCCAUAUGUAGUAUUAGUCCAAAAAGCUUAAAUAAGAAUCAAACUUGUAGUUUUUAGACUGGACAUUUUAAUCUUAAAAUUAUAUAUCUAUCUAUAUAUAUAUACACACAAGGUAUACUGUGUAUUAAAUUAUCAUUUCAAGUAACUUAAAUAUUUAUAUUUAGCAAACAUUCAGCCAAACAUUCUUUCAAAGGCUUAGACACCAAUGUCUUGACUUAGCACUAAGCCUGUGAAACUUGAAAAUCCAAGAAAUGUCUGCUGUAGUAUUAACAAUAAGACUGAUUUUCAACUUACUGAAUUGUGCAGAUACAAAAGUGCUUAGCAUGACAAAAUUACCAAAAUAAAAACAUUUUAAAGGUUAUUUGGUUCUAGCAAUAUUAACUAUUCUGGACUUUUGGAUAAUUUAACAUUUGCAUUUUAAAUUUCAUAUAAAUUUCCUCUUUUUAACAAGUUAAAAAAGCACACAAAAAAUAGUUUAAACUAUAAUCUGUUAUUUUUCAUCCUGGUUAGCUCAUCACAAAUAACUCAACAAAAGAAUGCUUCAAUAGUCAUCUCUAUUAAAAUACAAUAUUUGAAUAGAUCCCAUCAUUUCACCCAUUAUUUGCUAUGCCGGAUCCUAAAACAGGCUGCCGACAGAUUGGACAAGUGCAAUUCUCUGAGAGCCAUCGGUCAAUACAAUGAAUGUGAAAUUCAUGCAUGCAAGGUAAUUGCCUGAGCUUGUUUCCAGUUACAUAGUCACUGAUACAAACACUACAGAUUUUACCUAGUUCACUAUCAAUACCAUUAUGCUCAUAGUUCCGGGUGGAAAGAUUGUCUAUCUGCUCUUUGGUUAAACCACGUAUUCGAUCAUCAUCAUCACCUUCGUUUAGUAAAAAGAAAUGAGCAAGGCGAAGAAUAGGUAGCGUUCCAGUUUCAACUAAAUUGUUUGAAUUUCGCAACUGCCUGCCUCCUCUACUGUCACUGUUUUGAGUCUGAGGCUGGGUGGUCUCAUUUUCAGCUUGCAUUUCAGUGCUGUCUUCUUGGGCUUCCCUGGCUUGAGAGAAACCUUCACUGAGCUGGCUGUUUUCAUUAACUGUACCUAAGUUACUCAGUUCUGAAUGCAUCUCUGGUAAAUGCUGACCAUUUCUCUGAAUCUCUGACUCAGACUCAGCCUCCAUUAAAGAACUCAAUUCUCCAAACCCAGUCAUGAUCUGCCUUAAAAUAGACCGAAGAGCCACUGAGGAUGGCUCAACAAGCUCAUUCUCAGAAAUCCUCCGAAGAGGAACUGUUAUGGUACUAACAUAGGUUCGAAUACCUGACCGCUCUAAACGAGAAAUAGUUCGGCGAAAGCCCCCACUAUUGCUUUCAACAGUGACUGUAUUUUCUGCUAGCCCUACUCUAGAGCGGGUUCUAUUUGCAAUGCUAUCCCUAUCUCUAUUUUCUCCAGGACGAAUUCUCCUCACUUGAAGAUCCAGUGUGAUUGUUGGAUGUCGUCGUACAGCAGUUGAGGAUCUGCUGGAUUCUUCUCCUUCUUCUACUGUUAUUCUUGACACAAGUCUUGAAUUAGAGAAUGGGGCACUUACAGUACCUCUGCGUUCUCUAUCUUGCUCUACAAAGACCCGAGUUAUACCUCUCCUCCUCACAGACCUUCUAACUGUUUGCUGCAAAGGUCUACUUUCCCUUUGGGAAUUAUGAUAAGCAGUGCCACUCUGUCUCUGAAUUGGUGAACGGCUUCGACUGCUGAAAGCAGACCGUAAUCUUAUUGGCUCUAAUCUUUGGUUUGUAUUUCUCACUGUGACAUUAGUUCUAGCUCCAUUUUCCCAAAUAUGUGCUGCUCCAAAUCUUUGCCCCUCCCUUUGCCUGAGUUCACUACCACCUGAUUGGUUUGUGUGAUUACUAAAAUUAGCACGCGAAGCACUAGUUCUAGGAAUGCCAACUGCCUGCCCAAUUCUAUUCCUUAACCUUCCCAGUGUUGAAAGUGAUCCUUCAACUAAAUUCUGCUCCCUUGAACCAAGCCUUGUCCUUGUAAUGGUGGAACUAUUACCACUGAAAUCCAUGGAGGUUUGGCUUCUUGUUCGCCUAGCCACAGGACUAGUUGAUCUUUCUUGCCUAUUGCUAGUACGAUCCCUGCUAAUAUCUGAAAGUGGAAUGCCUGAAUAAUCUUCUCCAUUAAUUUCAAAUCCUCUAUUCUCAUGAUUUAUGUGGAUUUCCAGACUAAACCGAAACUCUCCACUGUUUGGGUUUGUUCGACUCACAGCUCUCCAAGUUUGGUUCCCAUUUUGUCCACUUCGAGUUGCAUUUCCUGUGCGACGAAAGGUGUUCAACCAUUCUAGCAGAGAAUCUUCAUUUGAACUUUCUCGAGGGACUUCUGAGUCUGGAAAGCAAAUCAAAUCAACUUCAGAUCCAACUCCUAAAAUCUGUCCUUAGAACUUUUUUAAAAGCUUAUAAGAAAAUUAGUUUGUACUGAAGAACAUCUGUGAGUUUUAAUGAAAGAAAAAUGGCCAAAAAACAAAAACUAUGAACUUCCUAAAAGUAUAUACUAUAAGCAUAUUAUAAAAAUAGUAAUACUGGGGGUGGGGUUGUGGCUCAGUGGUAGAGCACUUGCCUCACACAGGUGAGGCACUGGGUUCUAUCCUCAGCACCACAUAAAAACAAAUAAAAUAAAGGUAUUGUGUACAUCUACAGCUAAAAAUAUUUUAAAAAUAGUAAUACUAUUUAUGUAAUUACAAAACUUCAAAUACUAUUUAUUCAAAGUUGGAGAAAUUCCCAUACCUGCUUUCUGUUUGUGGCAAAAUAUUCAAAUGAGAAAUAUAUCCAAUACCAAAAGUGUACAUUUAAACUUUUUUACUUCAUGUACUAAUAUUAAUAAAAUACAUUGGCAAACUUUAUGUAAAACUCA